UAAAGCAAGUAGAGCUCAAAGCCUCACUCUCUUCAACAAUGGCGGAAAUCACCGAAUCACCUCCAGAACCUCCAGGAGAGACGCACCAGACACCCGAAACCACUCGCAAAGGUCAAGAACUCGAAUCGGACUUCGACCCCAAAAUCAUGGGAAAAUCCAAACCGGGACUCGAGCACCUCAGUCGCACCGUCUCAGUCCUCUUCUCCUUCCUCCUAGGCUUUCCAUUUAUGUGGCAGUAAGUGGAAAUCUAUCGCGCUCCGCUCCCAUUCCGCGAAAUCGAUGCUUUCUCGGCCCAAAUCGAAUCGAAGCCCUUGUUCCCAUGCCAUUUCCAAGCGAUCUUUAUAGGCUUUGAUUCCAAACCCUCCAUAACCCCAGACGCCCAAGAAUCUUCCAUUCUCUACCAAAUUGCCAAAUUGACAUCCAAAAUACCAUAAUGUGGGACUUGCACGAACCACACUGUUCUAGCUCUGAUGUAGCUUCCUUUUGGUGGCUUCAAGUUUCAACUCUAAUAGCUCCUCGUCCAUUUCAGGUUUUUUCAAACAGCUCUUAUCUGCAGCCUUUGGUAUAACUGAAUUUUCAUUAGUGGACCUUGUUUGUUGCACUGCCGUCUUUCGGAUAUUCAUCUGUUCCUUCUCAUUUUGGCGUAGUGCUGUCGGCAUUUUGAUCUUGAUCACACGUCGCGUUUUUUUCCCAUCACUACCACUCAUGCCACUGGAAGCCAUCGAUGCCAAUUUCUUCAGGUAUUCACCACCGUUGCCAUUCAACUCUAUCCUUUUUGUUGUUUGGUGUUGGCAACUUGACCCUCUUAACAUGACAAGGUUUCUUUUAAGCACAAUUCAUGUUGGUAGAAGAUGUUGGAACCGGUUCCAGCAUCUUAUCAUCCCAAUAAGAAAAUGAAGACUUUGGCUUAUGGUAUAAAACCUGCCCAUCUAGAACCGGUUCCAACAUCUUCUACCGACAUGAAUUGUGCUGAAAAGAAACCUUGCCAUGUUAUGAGGGUCAAGUUGCCAACACCAAACAACAAAGGGAUAGAGUUGAAUGGCAACAAUGGUAAAUAUCCGAAGACAUUGGCACUGUUGGCUUCCGGUGGCAUGAGUGGUAGUGAUGAGAAAAAAGAGCGACGUGUGAUCAAGAUCAAGAUGCCAACAGCAUUACGCCAAAAUAAGAAGGAACAGAAGAAUAUCCGAAAGAUGGUUGUUUAACAAACAGGAUCCACUAAUGGCAAUUCAGUUGUAGCAAAGGCUACAGAUAAGAGCUGUUUGAAAAAACUUGAAAUUUAUGAGGAGCUAUUAGAGUUGAAACUUGAAGCCACCAAAAGGAAGUUACAUCAGAGGUACCAACAAGCUCAGAAUUCCAAGAGGAAGAUUCAGUUGCUAGAUUUCCAAAACAUCCCAAGAGGCAGUACAGGUGUUGAGAGAGUCUGACAGCCAUGCAUUUAUUUUUGAAUAUCGAGAGUCUGAUGUCUCGCUAGGAAAGAGUCCUCUGCCUCCUUUAUACUUGCUCUUGCAAGGAUAUCACAGUCAAUCAUUCAUGAGGAGCAGAAAAUGGAUACUCAUGGGAGUACGUACAAACGAUGGAAAGUGAGAUCUAGAAAUUAAUUUUUUACCGUAUGCCUUUGAAUUGUGGGAUAGGAUCCAGUUUUUAUAAGCUGAGAAUAAAGUAUUUUUUUACUGGGAGUUGGACUUAUUGUUAUUAUUUUAUUAAUUAUUAGCACUAUUGCAGCUUGGAACGUCAUUGUCCAUGCCGUUCACAUUGUCAGGAUAGAGUUGGGAAUUUGAGUGGAGGUCUAGAAUUUCUUGAGCUCUGUGGGUUUGAGAAAACAAAAGAAGCUACAUCAGAGGUACCAACAAGCUCAUAAUUCAAAAAAGAAGAUUUAGUUGCUAGAUUUCCAAGACAUCCCUAAGCUUGAGAAUGUUAUCAAGAGACCCAAGAGGCAGUAUAGGUGUUGAGAGAGUCUGCCAGCCAUGUAAUUAUUUUUCAAUAUCGGUUAAUUAAGAUUAAUUGCUCAGUUGCUAGAUUUUGAGACAUUUUGUGUUAUUUGAUUCUUUUCCAUCACCUAAAUGGAUCCUGCAAUAUGUAAGGAACCAGUACUAUCUUUUGUACUUGUUAUUUUUAGUUAAGUAUCUACUUUUGAUUUGUAAGCCUUGUUCUGGCCCUUGAUUCUUUUUCAUCGGUUAGUGAAUUAUAUUUACACAUACAUGGAUAAUUACUGUG
Molecule: long non-coding RNA, 2214 nt
Organism: Alnus glutinosa
Lineage: Eukaryota; Viridiplantae; Streptophyta; Magnoliopsida; Fagales; Betulaceae
Exons: 3
Source: RefSeq, a predicted model, not a curated record